Molecule: small nucleolar RNA, 216 nt
Organism: Perca flavescens (yellow perch)
Lineage: Eukaryota; Metazoa; Chordata; Actinopteri; Perciformes; Percidae
Product: small nucleolar RNA U3
Exons: 1
Source: RefSeq, a predicted model, not a curated record
AAGACUAUACUUUCAGGGAUCAUUUCUAUAGUUUUUGAUUUGAGAAAUGUAUUUCUAAAGUGUUUGGUCUUGCUGACCAUGAUGAUGAGUCUUGAUAUUCCUUUCAGAGCAUGAAGCUGAUAGAGAGUAAUGAUUCACUUAAUCUGCUCUCUGUUGUUGAUGAUUGUUCUUUGCUUCUUUAUGAAGCAUUGAGGAAAGGAAUAUGAUCAGAGUGGU